CAGCAUAUUACAGAUCAAAGGAUGAAGGGCCACGCGUGUUAAGGCUACAAGUAUGCACAAAAACUGGUCACACCAGACUAAUGUCUUUUCCAUUUUGGAUAAGGAGCAAAGCAGGGGAAUGCAGUUGACACGGUAUGGCUGAAUUUCAGAAAAUCUCCCAAAGGAGACAGAGAAAAUAUGGCUGAAUGCCAACAAGGUUAGACAGAGACAUGACUGAUCUAACCAAGCUCAAGGAUCACUAAUUACUUAACGUUUCCUAAUGCUAGAGCAAAGCUCAGUGGUGAGUGGUCCGGAGGAUGAGGAGGUAUGAGCCAAGAGAAGGCAGCAUCCUGGUGACCUGCCUUGCAGGCUGCUUGGAGGAUAGACUUGAGGUCAUUCUCAUGAGCAUUUUUAAGGAAGGAGGAGGCCUGGUCAAGUUUAUAUUCUGGCAGGAGCACUAGGGUGACAAAGUAAAGGAUAGCUUAGAGGUCAGUCUCACUGGUGAGGUCAGAAGUGUCCACUGCACACACUAGUUCAGCCCCAGGUGAUGGGGUCUUGCCACAUCUCUGAAGUCUGGCUUCAGUUUCAAUACUGACUCCUCCAGACUCCCAGUCACUGAAUGUUGACUACGGGCCAGGCAUUCAUUAUACGUGACUUCAUUUAAAUCCCAUAACAGCACCAUAAUGUAGGCAUUAUCAUCUCUAUUCGGGAAGUGAGGAAACUAACGAAGAGGGGUGUAUAACUUGUCCACGGCGUCACCACUUAUGAAUGUCAGAUUCGGGACUUGAGCCAGGUCUAGUUGAUGCCACAGCCCAGCAGCUUCACUUUUCUGAUGUACAAGUUCUUUCCACGACUGCAAUGAGGAAGGAUUCAGUGAUCUGAUACUGACCCCUCUGGUGCCAGCUGACCUUUUAUGGAAAACCCAGGAGAGGAGGGCUGGGGGUCCAGGGGGUGCAGGGGGCACAGUGUCUCUCUGAUCACAGUGCCACCAUGGAGGCUGUUUUCUCUGUGCACAUCUGUUUAAAGUAUCCACUUCCCAUAAAUUAUGCCCUGGCUUCUCCUUCACCAAAGCACAGUGUUCUAAGUAUGGAUUAGGAUGUUUUCUUAGGCCUGAGAAAAAAGGGCAAAGGUUUCUUUAGAAAGCAGCCACUCAAAACUUCGUGAGGUACAUGAGAAUCAGACAGUGAAGAGAAACCAUGGCCUAAGUUGUUCAUGAUGACAAAUACUGAGACUUGUCAUUUCUCCUUGACUUGCCUACAUGCCAUUCUUAUACAGGUGCAGGAACAGAGAUCAGAAAUUAUGAAUGAUCAAGACCAACCAAUGGAAGGCCAUCUGUCAGAGAUGACACCCUGAGGCAGCUUGUUGAGAUGCAUAUUUUGGCAAAUCUGAAAUGAAUGGUCCAUUCUGGAUAAAGUCAUUGCUUCUCUUGAGAUGCAAGAAACCAGUGCUAUUCUACUUAUGGGUAGCUCAGAUGAAUUAGCCAGAACAAAGAGCUUUCUAGUCAGAGAGAGCAGCAGGUGCAAAGGCCCUGAGGCUGGAACAUGUGUAGCAUGUUAAGGGGAAAAAGCAUGUGUGGUUGGAGUCUAGUGAGGCAGGGCAGGGUAUAGAGAUAAGGUCAGACAAAGCACCAGGAGGCCAGAUUGUGCAGGACCUUGAGGGCUAUUUUAGGAUUUCAACUUUUACUCUGAGUGAGAUUGGAGCCAAUGGAGGAUGUUAAAUAGAGGAGUCGCAUGAUUGACUUAUGAGUGACUCACGGCUGCUCCUUGGAAAAUAGGCUGCUACUGGGAUUCCAAGUAUGCAGCAAUUAUAACAUCCAGGAGAAAGAUGAUGAUGGCUAGAACCAGAGGGAUAGCAAUGGAGGUGGCAGGACGGGCUUAGGCAUUAGACAUAGUUUUGAACGAAAAGUGUAUUAGUCAAGGUUCUCCAGGGAAACCGAACCAAGAGGACAUAUACAAAUCUGUGAUGCAAGGAGGGCAGUGCCCAGUCUCAGGAGCAGCCCCCGCGAGGCUCCAGGCAACGAGGAACAUGGUGGAAUGUUCCUGUGCCCAUCUUAAGAAUGAGGAAACCGAAGACCUCAGAGGCUGUUCCACUUGUUCUCUGUUUUCUUGGGAUGUGUGUGACAAAUCCUGCACUAGACCAAACCUCAGGACUCUCAGGGCAGUGCUCCCACAAAACGUCCUACCUCUCAUCAGUUCACCUUCCACAAUUAAGUUCCCUAGUGAGCAGGCUGGGAGAGGAUGGGGUGUGUGUGUGCGUGUGUGCGCGUGCGCGCAGGCAUGUGCCAAGCCCAGGACACGAGUCCAGGACUGACACUCCCCACCACUCCCUGGGAAAGGAAUUUCUCCUCAGCCCAGCUUCUCUCUCAGGGAAAUUCAGGUUUGCAGGCAUCCGACCCAGUGAACAGCACAGGAAGGAGGAGCCCCUCUGGCCAGCGAGGUCCCUCAGGCGUCUUUCCUGAGACACUUGCACCUGGGCGCCCCCAGGCUGUGCUGGGAGGUCGAUGGCAGCCUGGCUGGAAAAAGUGAGAAAUGGAAGGAACUUAGAUGCCUGUCCACAUGGAAGUGGCCCGAUAGUGAUGACGUAUUUAGUCAGCCGUGAAAAAGAUUGGAGCAGGUCUAGACGUAGAGUCAAGAAAGAUCUCGACGACAUAUUAUGGAGCAAAACCUAGAGAAACUUGCACACAGUGCAUAGAGUAUGGUCCCGUUCAUGCACAAAAGUAACCUAUAUAUGUGACUUUGAAUGUAUAGAGAAAGGGUCACAGCAGCCUGCCGAUGGCGAUUCGUUUAUUCACUCCACGGAUGUGCGUCCAGUGCCCUCUCCUGCCCCUGGCGCUGUGCUGGGGGAGGGGAUCAGCAGAGGGGGAAGCAGACGAUGUCCCUGUCCUCCUGCAGCCUGAGAGGGGCAGGGUUGAGGGAGGGGUAAAGGAACAUGAUGGCUUUUUAUUUUAUGUCCUUCUGCAUUAUCGGAAGAUUUCCAGCUAGAAUAUUUCAUAGGGAUGUCAUAACGAAUACAAAAAUACACAAACAAAGAGAAGAAGGUGGAAAAAGAAGAGAAGGAGGAGAAAUGCUUAUGUAAACAAUGUGAUAGGGCACCUGGGGUCACUUUCAAGCUGUCACACUCUUGACCUGACUAGAAGGAUGGUCUCUCCUACCCAGCAUCACAGAAGAACAGCACCAAGUGGAGAAUGCCAGACAUGAUGUCCACAGCCCCUUAGAAGGAAGAAGGCAUAUUCCAGUAACAGAAGGUCCCACAACUCCCCAGUUUCUCCCCAGCCCUCCAAGAGCACUGCCUGUAGCUGGUCACAGCUCCUAGAGGUGGCAGCUUUUUAAGACCAGGAUCAUCUUCUGGGGCUGAUGCCAUGAAAAUAGGUGCGCUGUCUUCUCUGAAUGCAUCCUUCCAGACGUGGCCUUUUACCCUCCUCCUCUGAUGAAGUGCCUCCAUCUGCCCAGCAACCUGUUUAGAGCCCUCACUGUUGCUGGGAACCUCAAGUAACAGCAGAGGGAGUUUCUUCUCUUCUUUUUUCUUUUUGAGGAAGAUUAGCUCUGAGCUAACAUCUGCUGCCAAUCCUCCUCUUUUUGCUGAGGAAGACUGGCCCUGAGCAAACAACCAUGCCCAUCUUCCUCUACCUUACAUGUAGGACUCCUGCCACAGCAUGGCUUGACAAGCGGUGCCAUGUCCGCACCCAGGAUCCGAACCAGCCAACCCCGGGCCACUGAAAUGGAACAUGAGAACUUAACCACUGCGCCACCAGGCCAGCCCCUCUUCUCUUCUUGAAGUGCUCAGACAGUCUAACUGAGAGCAGACUGCACAGUUACUUACAUGGAUUACACCGAAGGAUGCACCCUUCCCCAUCCUACCCCCUCCCAGUCCUUGAGCUUGUCUUCUCUGGGCAGAAGAAUUGGCAAGACAAGCUAUUGGCCAGUAAGGUGACAAAGUCUCACGAGCCCUCUGAUGUGUUUUCAGCUCUCAGGUGGUCAAUUUAGCUGUUAGAUUUGUGGUCAGACGUCCUGAGUUCACAUCCUAGCUCUGCCAUUUUCAAGCUGUACACUUUUUGGCAUAUUUCUUCCUCUGUAAAUAACAAUAAUUAUAAUAAUAAUUAAAUGGCAAUGACGAGAAAGUCCUGCCCCACAAAAUGGUUGUGAGGAUUUAAAAAGAUGUCUAUAGGGGUUUGUUUUUUACUUGUGCAAAUCUUGCAAAUGUGUGGUGUGUGCAACCACUGUGCUACUUGCCUUGGGAGUGUUCUCCAUGCACCUGGAGCCGGAAUGAGCCUGAGGCAGCCUGGGUGAGCAGAAUGUGCCCAUCAGCUGUGACAGAGACACAAUCUCAGUUUCAACCAGAGAGCCUACAAGGAAACGUAUCCAAGAAAACCAGAUUUGCCUGUCCUCCGAGAUAAGCAGAAAGAUUCCUUUCAGUCACGCAGGCAAAGGCAUCCAGCCUCGGCCACCCCAGCUGCAUUUUUGUCCUUAUUCCCCAAUUCUAGCAUUUUCAACAGAC
Long non-coding RNA from Equus caballus (horse), 4473 nucleotides. NCBI's taxonomy places the organism in Eukaryota, Metazoa, Chordata, Mammalia, Perissodactyla, Equidae. The record is from Ensembl.